Molecule: ribosomal RNA, 291 nt
Filed under: Salmonella enterica subsp. enterica serovar Worthington str. BCH-3194
Lineage: Bacteria; Pseudomonadati; Pseudomonadota; Gammaproteobacteria; Enterobacterales; Enterobacteriaceae
Description: partial 23S ribosomal RNA
Rfam family: Bacterial large subunit ribosomal RNA
Source: RNAcentral
UUAGAAGCAGCCAUCAUUUAAAGAAAGCGUAAUAGCUCACUGGUCGAGUCGGCCUGCGCGGAAGAUGUAACGGGGCUAAACCAUGCACCGAAGCUGCGGCAGCGAACGUAUCACUUAAAGCGAUUCAGCGGGUUACGAUUGACGGAGCGAAGCGACGUCAAAGCGUAUACAAAGUCGAGUCGGUUUAAGGAUACGUUCGUUGGGUAGGGGAGCGUUCUGUAAGCCUGUGAAGGUGGCCUGUGAGGGUUGCUGGAGGUAUCAGAAGUGCGAAUGCUGACAUAAGUAACGAUA